ACUGAGAUAGUUCAGUUGGUAGACCGUGAGACUCUUAUUCUCAGAGUUGUGGGUUUGAGCCCCAUGCUGGGCU
Molecule: non-coding RNA, 73 nt
Organism: Podarcis lilfordi (Lilford's wall lizard)
Lineage: Eukaryota; Metazoa; Chordata; Lepidosauria; Squamata; Lacertidae
Source: the annotation of a GenBank genome assembly